Long non-coding RNA from Sphaeramia orbicularis (orbiculate cardinalfish), 151 nucleotides. RefSeq lists it as uncharacterized. The transcript is spliced from 4 exons. NCBI's taxonomy places the organism in Eukaryota, Metazoa, Chordata, Actinopteri, Kurtiformes, Apogonidae. The record is from RefSeq and is a predicted model, not a curated record.
UGGGCUGGUUCAGGGGGGGGGGGUUUGUAGGAUGGUGUGUCGGUGUGUUCAUUAUUCUUCUGUGUAUCUCCGAUGUGCCCAUCAAUCGGAGGAAUGACCUUUGUUACAUUAUUAACAGUUUCUCAGUGUCACCUCUAAGUGUCGCCAAAGG